This 451-nucleotide ribosomal RNA is filed under the name uncultured bacterium. RNAcentral's name for it is "partial 16S ribosomal RNA". It matches the Rfam family "Bacterial small subunit ribosomal RNA", at positions 28 to 507 of the family's 1533-position model. The record is from RNAcentral.
GAUGAAUGCUGGCGGCGUGCUUAACACAUGCAAGUCGAGCGGCAGCGCGGGGUUCUUGCACCGUGUCGGCGAGCGGCGAACGGCAGAGUCACGUGUAGGAAUUUGCCCCAAGGUGAGGAAUAACUGAUCGAAAGGGUGGCUAAUGCGGCAAAGGGUUUCUGGAGUAAAGUAUUUAUGCGCUAUGGGAGAAGGUUGGGUUGGAUUAGGUUGUUGGUAGGGUAAUGGCCUACCAAGUCGACGAUCCAUAGCUGGUCUGAUAGGAUGAUCAGCCAGACUUGAACUGAGACCCGGUCCAGACUCCUACGGGGGGCAGCAGUGAGGAAUCUUCCGCAAUGGGCGGAAACCUGGUGGCGCAACGCCGCGGUAAGGGUGAAGGCCUUCGGGUUGUAAACUUCUUUUAUGCGUGGAGAAUAUGACGGUAACUCGUAAAUAAGCACCGGCUAACUACGUG